Long non-coding RNA from Dendronephthya gigantea, 186 nucleotides. RefSeq lists it as uncharacterized. The record is from RefSeq and is a predicted model, not a curated record. NCBI's taxonomy places the organism in Eukaryota, Metazoa, Cnidaria, Anthozoa, Malacalcyonacea, Nephtheidae. The transcript has 3 exons.
AUUGUGAAAGGUGCUGGCAUGGUUCUGAAGGCGAUAAUCGAGGAAGCUGAUGAAGAAACCGCGGCAAAAAUACAAGUUCUGGCGCUUGCCGAGGGCGCUCUGCCAAAACGCUUACGCAUGGCCAUGUUUACGCAAAGCACUGAUAGACGUUCGCUAUUGAACAGCCACCAGAGACUGAAGAAGAUC